UUCAGUUGGGAACAACACUCCGAAAGGGGUGCUAAUGCCGAACGUGGUUGUCUUCACGCAUGUGUUGACAAUUAAAGGUGGGGAUCCUUCGGGACCUGCCGCUGAAGGAGGAGCUCGCGUCCUACCAGCUUGUUGGUGAGGUAACGGCUCACCAAGGCUUACGGGUAGCUGGUCUGAGAGGAUGGUCAGCCACACUGGGACUGAGACACUGCCCAGACUCCUACGGGAGGCUGCAGUCGAGGAUCAUUCACAAUGCGCGAAAGCGUGAUGAUGCGACGCCGCGUGGAGGAUGAAGGCCUUCGGGUCGUAAACUCCUGUCAUCCGGGAGCAACCAUCUCCCCAUUAAUACGGGGGGGAUUUGAUAGUACCGGAAGAGGAAGCCACGGCUAACUCUGUGCCAGCAGCCGCGGUAACACAGAGGUGGCAAGCGUUGUUCGGAUUUACUGGGCGUAAAGGGUGCGUAGGUGGCUUUGUGUGUCGGAUAUGAAAUCUCACCGCUCAACGGUGAAACUGCAUUCGAAACUGCAGAGCUAGAGUACCGGAGAGGAGAGCGGAAUUCUUGGUGUAGCGGUGAAAUGCGUAGAUAUCAAGAAGAACACCGGUGGCGAAGGCGGCUCUCUAGACGGAUACUGACACUGAGGCACGAAAGCUGGGGGAGCAAACAGGAUUAGAUACCCUGGUAGUCCCAGCUGUAAACGUUGUGCACCUGGUGUGGGAGGAAUUGACCCCUUCCGUGCUGAAGCUAACGCGUUAAGUGCACCGCCUGGGGAGUACGGCCGCAAGGCUAAAACUCAAAGAAAUUGACGGGGGCCCGCACAAGCGGAGGAGCAUGUGGCUUAAUUCGAUGCAACGCGAAGAACCUUACCAGGGUUUGACAUGCAGCUGCACGUCCCGUGAAAGUGGGAUUCCUUCGAGGGUGCUGCACAGGUGCUGCAUGGCUGUCGUCAGUUCGUGCCGUGAGGUGUUGGGUUAAGUCCCGCAACGAACGCAACCCUUGUGCUUAGUUGCCACCAGCGGUGAUGAGCCGCUGAGCACUCUAGGCAGACUGCCCGUGAUAAGCGGGAGGAAGGUGGGGAUGACGUCAAGUCCGUAUGGCCUUUAUACCCUGGGCUGCACACGUGCUACAAUGGUCGGUACAGAAGGAUGCAAAACCGCGAGGUAGAGCAAAUCCCCAAAAUCGGCCUCAGUUCGGAUUGGAGUCUGCAACUCGACUCCAUGAAGUUGGAUUCGCUAGUAAUGGCGUAUCAGCUACGGCGCCGUGAAUACGUUCCCGGGCCUUGUACACACCGCCCGUCACAUCAUGAAAGCCGUCUGCACCCGAAGUCGCUGAUCCAACCCUUCACAGGGAGGAAGGUGCCGAAGGUGUGGGUGGUGAUUGGAAUGAAGUCGUAACAAGGU
RNAcentral lists this ribosomal RNA (1398 nucleotides) under metagenome. Its description in RNAcentral is "bacterial SSU rRNA". It matches the Rfam family "Bacterial small subunit ribosomal RNA", at positions 132 to 1497 of the family's 1533-position model. The record is from RNAcentral.